RNAcentral lists this unclassified non-coding RNA (201 nucleotides) under uncultured Ascomycota. RNAcentral describes it as "sequence contains ITS2". Lineage: Eukaryota; Fungi; Ascomycota. The record is from RNAcentral.
CAACCCUUUCGGGGCGCGGCUUGUUCUCAGGUCAGCGCGUCCGGUGCUGGACCCGGUCAGGUUUCCCAACCGGCCUGGUCCCAAAGUUGUACGCUCCAGCGGGGCAGCGCAACCGAUUAGAGACCCAGUAGGCCUUCAAAGCAAACUGUCUCGCUCGGCUGAGCAUUUGCCUACCGCCUGAACAAAUCUUUUUUAACCAAG